RNAcentral lists this ribosomal RNA (253 nucleotides) under uncultured bacterium. Its description in RNAcentral is "partial 16S ribosomal RNA". It matches the Rfam family "Bacterial small subunit ribosomal RNA", at positions 524 to 776 of the family's 1533-position model. The record is from RNAcentral.
AACGUAGGAGACAAACGUUAUCCGGAGUUACUGGGCGUAAAGGGCGUGUAGGUGGUAUCGUAAGUCUGGCGUGAAAUUUCUCGGCUUAACCGAGGCAGGUCGUCGGAUACUGCGAGGCUAGAGGACGGUAGAGGCGUGUGGAAUUCCUGGUGUAGCGGUGGAAUGCGCAGAUAUCAGGAGGAACACCGGUGGCGAAGGCGGCUCCCUGGACUAAUACUGACGCUGAGGUGCGAAAGCGUGGGGAGCAAACAGG